AGAUAUCUAAUUUACAGUAAAAGACUAAUAUAAGUUUAAAUGUAAACUAGCUGCUAUGCCCAACAGAACCAAAUACCCAUUUAUUGAAAACCCAAAUUAACAGAGUCAGAUGUGAGAAAGGCUCUCAUUCGUCUUUUUCUUUUUCCCACUAUCUAUCAAUCUUCAUCAUUUGGUUACAAGCAACAUAAUUGGAAAUCAACAAGAACGCACUCAAAUCCCCAAAACAGUUUUGUCCUCAUAAAAUCAAAUCCCCUACGCAGUUCAGAACAAAAGGACUCAUCUUAAUCGAAUGAUAAGAUACAAAUCAGAAGCCAUCAUUGACAAAAAAAAAAAAAUUAAUAACAAU
RNAcentral lists this unclassified non-coding RNA (346 nucleotides) under Hevea brasiliensis (rubber tree). The record is from RNAcentral. Lineage: Eukaryota; Viridiplantae; Streptophyta; Magnoliopsida; Malpighiales; Euphorbiaceae.